RNAcentral lists this ribosomal RNA (253 nucleotides) under uncultured bacterium. Its description in RNAcentral is "partial 16S ribosomal RNA". It matches the Rfam family "Bacterial small subunit ribosomal RNA", at positions 524 to 776 of the family's 1533-position model. The record is from RNAcentral.
UACGUAGGCAGCGAGCGUUGUUCGGGGUUACUGGGCGUAAAGGGUGCGUAGGCGGUUGUUUAAGUUUGGUGUGAAAUCUCCCGGCUCAACUGGGAGGGUGCGCCGAAUACUGAAUGACUCGAGUGCGGGAGAGGAGAGUGGAAUUCCUGGUGUAGCGGUGAAAUGCGUAGAUAUCAGGAGGAACACCGGUGGUGUAGACGGCUCUCUGGACCGUAACUGACGCUGAGGCACGAAAGCGUGGGUAGCAAACAGG